RNAcentral lists this ribosomal RNA (301 nucleotides) under uncultured bacterium. RNAcentral describes it as "partial 16S ribosomal RNA". It matches the Rfam family "Bacterial small subunit ribosomal RNA", at positions 509 to 807 of the family's 1533-position model. The record is from RNAcentral.
CAGCAGCCGCGGUAAUGCGAAGGGGGCUAGCGUUGUUCGGAAUCACUGGGCGUAAGGGGUGCGUAGGCGGGAUCUUAAGUCAGGGGUGAAAUCCCGAGGCUCAACCUCGGAACUGCCUUUGAUACUGGGGUCCUUGAGUCCGGAAGAGGCGAGUGGAACUGCGAGUGUAGAGGUGAAAUUCGUAGAUAUUCGCAAGAACACCGGUGGCGAAGGCGGCUCACUGGUCCGGAACUGACGCUGAGGCACGACAGCGUGGGGAGCAAACAGGAUUAGAUACCCCAGUAGUCCCUGUCUCUUAUAC